This is a long non-coding RNA of Chrysemys picta bellii (western painted turtle), 1857 nucleotides long. The record is from Ensembl. NCBI's taxonomy places the organism in Eukaryota, Metazoa, Chordata, Testudines, Emydidae.
CUGCUGGAGUUUAUGCAACACUAAUGCCAGGGGAACUUGUUUUUCAGUUGAGUGAUUUUAUUUUUGUUGGCAGCCCCUGACAUGGUACUGGCAUGGCGUUCAGAUGGAAGGAGGCACCGCCACCACCUCCCUCACCACGGGUGCUGUGCGGGGAGUUUAAAGCAAGGACAAUGUUUUCAGCUGAAAGGAAUCAACAAGCAAGAGCCUGGAGAGGAUGGGCUGGGCUUUCUUUAAGAAAUCCAAGCUCAUAUGUAUUAAAUGCCCUAGAUAGCAUGGAUACAGCGUGCGGGUCAUGUGGCUGGCUGAGCCAGCUGCAGGAAAUGGUUCCCCCUAUAAUGUUACUGUCUCUCCAUGUUAAAUGCUUUAAGUCUCGCAUAGUGCAAAUGAAGGUUCCCACAGCAGCAUUAACUUUUGUAUUUCCUGCUGUUCAUGUCUUCAUCUGUGCUGCUGCACGUUGCAUUAGUACAGGUUUUGGCAUGUCAUUGAUGUUUAAGGUAGGAAAGAACAGGGGGGCUGAAUGGGAAUCACAGCAAUGCACCAUGCCCUGGAAGAAUCCGUCAGUCCAGUACAUUCUACAGUUCGUCCGUCUCCACUGCAGCUUAAAGCAGCAGCAGCCCUCCACUUUCAUGCACUGUUCACUCCAUGGAUGCAGAAGAAACGUACCUGCAGCAUUAUGGAGUAAUGCUAGCAAUUCUGAAGGGAAAAUGCCUUUUCCAAUAAAGUCAAGUUUUGAUGGGAAAUUUUUGAUCAACUCUGCCCAAUGCACAGAAGUGGAGAUGCCCUCAAACCCAGAAGUUACAGAGGUGUUUGGAGGAACACCAGCCAGCUGUUCGGUAGCACGUUCAGUAAAAGACUAAUACAGUAUCUGAACCACAACAAAGUAAUCCAUGAAAGUCAAACUGGAUUCCUCCUUGACUAACAAACCACUGAUCACAUCUUGAUCAUACUGAUGCUCGUUAACCAACAUGCAAAAAAACAACAACACAGAUCAGGGGAAGCGCUUUGUCUGCCUUGUAGAAUUUCAGAAAAGCUUUUGGCGCUCAAGUGUGAACCAUAAACUGCUAUGAAAUGGAAUUGGUGGAGCAACAUAUGAACUAAUUGUCCAUCAAAUGUAUGAUGUAAAUAAGCAACGUGUGAACAGAGACCUCCAAGCAAGAAGAGGGAGUCAAUCGAGGCCAUAACCUCAUCUUGAGCCUUCCCAAUAUACACACCCGUGACUUGGAAAUCUUACUGGAAAAAUCUCCAAGCCCAGGAAUUCUACUGAGAUAAAAUGCCUAUUGUAUAUCAAUGACCUGGUCAUAUUACUACUUAGGCAACAAGGUUCCCCCAAGAAACUUACACCUGCUAGAAACCUAUUGCAUUACAAAUCAUCCUGGAAAAAACUAAAUUCAUGAUGUGUCAUAAAAUGCCCCCAAAUGACCAAAACCAACUAACAUUUUAUACAGAGACAUAGAAGUCGAACCCUAAAUUAUGCAUGCUGCAUGCAGCAGAGAGCUAUGACUGGCUAUAGAAGCAUUACAAGGGGAAAAAAAACAAACAAGAAAACGCAGGUCUUCAACACCAUUAAGGAACUGCUAGAAUAGAUACAACCUUCCAAGAAAGUUACGCUAAAACUACAUGACAAUCUAAUUCAAUCAUUCUGCUCUAUAGAAGUGAAGCCUGGGACCAGUUUUAACAGUCAAUAACACCAUCAGGACAAUACCCCAGUAGGACACCUGCAUAUCUAGUUCUGCAAACAAAUACUCCAUGUAUCCGGGAACUCCACCAACAAUAACUACAGAGCAGAACUGAGUCAACCCCACUGCUAAUCAACAUGCAAAAAAGAACGUUCCAUUUCUGGGGCCAUCUCAGCCAGAG